AGCGGUAGCACAGAGAGCUUGCUCUCGGGUGACGAGCGGCGGACGGGUGAGUAAUGUCUGGGAAACUGCCUGAUGAGGGGGAUAACUACUGGAAACGGUAGCUAAUACCGCAUAACGUCGCAAGACCAAAGAGGGGGACCUUCGGGCCUCUUGCCAUCAGAUGUGCCCAGAUGGGAUUAGCUAGUAGGUGGGGUAACGGCUCACCUAGGCGACGAUCCCUAGCUGGUCUGAGAGGAUGACCAGCCACACUGGAACUGAGACACGGUCCAGACUCCUACGGGAGGCAGCAGUGGGGAAUAUUGCACAAUGGGCGCAAGCCUGAUGCAGCCAUGCCGCGUGUAUGAAGAAGGCCUUCGGGUUGUAAAGUACUUUCAGCGAGGAGGAAGGCAUUGUGGUUAAUAACCACAGUGAUUGACGUUACUCGCAGAAGAAGCACCGGCUAACUCCGUG
Molecule: ribosomal RNA, 450 nt
Filed under: uncultured bacterium
Lineage: Bacteria
Description: bacterial SSU rRNA
Rfam family: Bacterial small subunit ribosomal RNA
Source: RNAcentral